ACUCCUACGGGAGGCAGCAGUGGGGGAAUAUUGCACAAUGGGCGCAAGCCUGAUGCAGCCAUGCCGCGUGUGUGAAGAAGGCCUUCGGGUUGUAAAGCACUUUUCAGUCGUGAGGAAGGUAGUGUAGUUAAUAGCUGCAUUAUUUGACGUUAGCGACAGAAGAAGCACCGGCUAACCUCCGUGCCAGCAGCCGCGGUAAUACGGAGGGUGCGAGCGUUAAUCGGAAUUACUGGGCGUAAAGCGCAUGCAGGUGGUUUGUUAAGUCAGAUGUGAAAGCCCGGGGGCUCAACCUCGGAAUUGCAUUUGAAACUGGCAGACUAGAGUACUGUAGAGGGGGGUAGAAUUUCAGGUGUAGCGGUGAAAUGCGUAGAGAUCUGAAGGAAUACCGGUGGCGAAGGCGGCCCCCUGGACAGAUACUGACACUCAGAUGCGAAAGCGUGGGGAGCAAACAGGAUUAGAUACCCUGGUAGGAUAGCGG
Molecule: ribosomal RNA, 478 nt
Filed under: uncultured bacterium
Lineage: Bacteria
Description: bacterial SSU rRNA
Rfam family: Bacterial small subunit ribosomal RNA
Source: RNAcentral